Molecule: long non-coding RNA, 1637 nt
Organism: Oncorhynchus kisutch (coho salmon)
Lineage: Eukaryota; Metazoa; Chordata; Actinopteri; Salmoniformes; Salmonidae
Source: Ensembl
AUUAUGAGACAAGACCAUUAUGGGGCCAGAUGAAAAAAGAACACAGAGAAUGGACUAGCCCCCACCCCACAUUUUCUGAGAAUGUUCAACUACCAAUAAGUUUAGGACUAUCUUGUUAUAUAGACACAUUAAUUAUAAAAAGUCAACCAUAUACUCACACUCAUCCCAACAUGACAGUGACUGAUCAGACAGUUGGAAUACCCUAGACAUUGUUUCCCCUGUGGCCAUUCCAGCUGUUGCUUCAGCUGCCUAGAUCAUACCGUCCACUCAACCCUCAACUCUAUUGUGUUGUUCUAUUGUUGCUACUGUGGCAUCCUUGGCCGCAGGUCUGCAGUGCUGACUGUAAGUCUAUCUGGCUGGAUGGCAUUGACCUGUGUGGGUGGGGGUUGAUGGUGGGGGCACCGGAGGGGACGUGUCAGUAGUCUAUAUUUACCACCUUGAGUGCAUUGUGUUUGGCCACAUUCUCUUCAUGAAGGACACUUUGUGUCCAGGGCCAGGUUCACCUUCACUGCUUAUACAGGGAGAGGCAGAGUGAGGAGCACGGGAGAGAAAGAAUAGAGAGAGGAACUUUAAAGAGAGGUGAGACAGGGAGAUUAAGAGAACGUGAGACAGCAAUUGAGAGAGACAGAUAGUGAAAGGUGACAGGGGACAGAGAGAGAGAGAGAGAGAGAGAGAGAGAGAGAGAGAGAGAGAGAGAGAGGGAAAGAAAGAAAGAAAGAAAGAAAGAAAGAAAGAAAGAAAGAAAGAAAGAAAGAAAGAGAGAAAGAAAGAAAGAAAGAAGUGUGUCCUUCACGCUCAUCUUGAGCGCCUGUGGAGUAUAACCCUUUCUUCAAAGACAAACGUGUUGGUCAGGGGUUCACCAUGUCAAUCAAGAUGCUGAUGACACGGGUCCAGGAAGAGCAGUCCCACCAGAUGUCCCACAGCAUGGCGCUGGCCUCGCAGAUCAAGAAGAAAACCUUCACCUCUAGUCCAGGAACCAAACAAAAGAAAAAGCAGAAGAUGCUCUCUCUGAGCUCUGUGAAAUGGGGAACUGUCCCAGCAAAUAAACGAAAUAAAACGGGAAGUCACAACAAUUUUCAUUGUCAUCACAAGUAGGCUUUCUUUCUGAAAGGAGUGCCUCAAGCAAUAUGGCUACAUAUAUUAGCUGGCUGUAUUGACUUGGGGGGAAAUCAAUUCUGACUUUCAGAAAUGUGUUGUAGUGUGGGGCAAUUCAAAAACCCAAAUAUAGACCAAGCAGCCCACAUAAGACCUGAUACAAGCAUUUACUCUCAAAAAAUCUCCUGAAUGCAGCUGUAGUUGCUCUUGUUAAAGUGUAAUAGACCCUUGUGGAUAAAAGUUGAGCAAAAGUUAGCACCUCUCUUACUCCUUUAAGAUGCCUUCCUACUUUAUUGUCUCGACGUGCCUCCCAAGUGUUCUCCUUGUUGUUUAUAGGUGUGUAAGAGGGCACUUUAUUUAUUGAUAGUCUAAGAAGAGAAUGUUGACUUGAAUGGGAACGUCUGUUGUUUUAAAUUAUACUGUCAAUCCUCCAUAAGAAACCUAUACCUAACCUAAACCUACCUACCUAAACCACAGUAAUAUAGAUAAUAGAAUAGAAAUGACCAUUUUAGUUGAUAUUUAAUGGUGGGUGGACCAGCGGC